AUUUAUAUAGUUUAAAAUAAAACAUUACAUUUUCAUUGUAAAAUUAAAAUUUUUUAUAAAUUA
RNAcentral lists this transfer RNA (63 nucleotides) under Oxysarcodexia avuncula. Its description in RNAcentral is "tRNA-Glu". The record is from RNAcentral. Lineage: Eukaryota; Metazoa; Arthropoda; Insecta; Diptera; Sarcophagidae.